Molecule: ribosomal RNA, 331 nt
Rfam family: Bacterial small subunit ribosomal RNA
GUGCCUUCGGGAACGCUCAGACAGGUUCNGCAUGGCCGUCGUCAGCUCGUGUUGUGAAAUGUUGGGUUAAGUCCCGUAACGAGCGCAACCCUUGUCCCUAUUUGCCAGCGAUUCGGUCGGGAACUCUAGGGAGACUGCCGGUGACAAACCGGAGGAAGGUGGGGACGACGUCAGGUCAUCAUGGCCCUUACGAGUAGGGCUACACACGUGCUACAAUGGCCGGUACAAUGGGCUGCAAUCCCGCGAGGGGGAGCUAAUCUCAUAAAGCCGGUCUCAGUCCGGAUCGGAGUCUGCAACUCGACUCCGUGAAGUCGGAAUCGCUAGUAAUCGU